CAUUAACACAACAUAAUGACAAACACAUAAACCUUUAGUGCUUGAGGGAUGGAUUUUAAAAGAUAUGAUGAAUAAUCAUAAAUUUUAAGCCACUCUCAUUCAUUAAAAUAAACUUUUUUAUAAUUUUUGUAUUUACAAAAAAUUUAAAAAUUAAAAAUCAAUUUAAAAAUUUUCAACGAUGGAUAUCUUGGUUCCCAUAUCGAUGAAGAACGCAGCCAAAUGCGAUACGCAAUGCGAAUUGCAGAAUUCCGCGAGUCAUCAGAUCUUUGAACGCAAAUGGCGCUCGGUUAAAAAAUACCCGAGCAUGUUUGUUUCAGUGUGUUCGGAAUCAUAUAUCUUAAUGCGAUUGAAUUUAUAAUUCUCUCGUUAAACAUGAAAGCGCUGAAUUGUUCAGUGCCGACCGAAGUAGUCACUUCUCAGCAAGUGAUCUCGGUUGUGCAUAACUGAAGAUUCACUCAAAGCGUCUUUUUAAUAUAUUUAUUAUUCUCCACUCCACACCUGAAAUCAAGCAAGAUCACCC
This 520-nucleotide ribosomal RNA is filed under the name uncultured alveolate. RNAcentral describes it as "eukaryotic LSU rRNA". The stretch from base 168 to 322 matches the Rfam family "5.8S ribosomal RNA". The record is from RNAcentral.